AAAUUGAAGAGUUUGAUCAUGGCUCAGAUUGAACGCUGGCGGCAGGCCUAACACAUGCAAGUCGAACGGUAACAGGAAGCAGCUUGCUGUUUCG
RNAcentral lists this ribosomal RNA (94 nucleotides) under Escherichia coli. RNAcentral's name for it is "partial 16S ribosomal RNA". It matches the Rfam family "Bacterial small subunit ribosomal RNA", at positions 1 to 90 of the family's 1533-position model. The record is from RNAcentral. RNAcentral also lists the same sequence under 2 other names. Lineage: Bacteria; Pseudomonadati; Pseudomonadota; Gammaproteobacteria; Enterobacterales; Enterobacteriaceae.